This is a long non-coding RNA of Gekko japonicus, 501 nucleotides long. RefSeq lists it as uncharacterized. NCBI's taxonomy places the organism in Eukaryota, Metazoa, Chordata, Lepidosauria, Squamata, Gekkonidae. The transcript has 3 exons. The record is from RefSeq and is a predicted model, not a curated record.
GAGUGGUGUGGAUUCAGGCAGCCUCGUUCAGUCUUAUUCGACUCAGCAACAUCAAAAAUUGAAACAGAAUGAAAAUUAUUCUUCUCCUUGGAGUCUCCAGUCUGUUCCUCUUCACCGUUGCCCAAGAACUCCUCUGUAAUAAUUGCCAAUCUGCAUAUAUUGAGAACUGUCGUACCAUGAACACAUGCAUAUCCAAGAUGGGGAGAUGUUUCAAAAGAACAAUCUACAAAGCUCCUGCAGGUAAAAACCUUAUUGAAGUGACUAAUGGAUGUGUCACUAAGUAUAAUGACCAUGAAUGUAACACACUUUACAUGAUUCCUAAGAUCAAUCAGAUUCAGAUUUUCACUUGUUGCCACACUGCGAGAUGCAAUGGACGAGACCCUUCUCCUUUCCCUCCUGCUAACUGUACCCGGCCUUCCAGAGGGGUUUGAGAUGGCAGAAGAUACUGAAGUUCUGGGCUUCUUUCAUACUCUUUGAGCAGGCAUGUGAUUUAGGAGGCUG